AUUGAACGCUGGCGGAAUGCUUUACACAUGCAAGUCGAACGGCAGCACGGGGCAACCUGGUGGCGAGUGGCGAACGGGUGAGUAAUAUAUCGGAACGUGCCCAAUCGUGGGGGAUAACGUAGCGAAAGUUACGCUAAUACCGCAUACGAUCUACGGAUGAAAGCGGGGGAUCGCAAGACCUCGCGCGAAUGGAGCGGCCGAUAUCAGAUUAGGUAGUAGGUGGGGUAAAGGCUCACCAAGCCAACGAUCUGUAGCUGGUCUGAGAGGACGACCAGCCACACUGGAACUGAGACACGGUCCAGACUCCUACGGGAGGCAGCAGUGGGGAAUUUUGGACAAUGGGGGCAACCCUGAUCCAGCCAUGCCGCGUGAGUGAAGAAGGCCUGGUUGUAAGACUCUUCGGUCCGGGAACGGAAAGUACGCAU
This 425-nucleotide ribosomal RNA is filed under the name uncultured bacterium. RNAcentral's name for it is "bacterial SSU rRNA". It matches the Rfam family "Bacterial small subunit ribosomal RNA", at positions 30 to 460 of the family's 1533-position model. The record is from RNAcentral.